ACGAUUCCUCGUUAGGAUGAGGCGUUAGCACAAACAAAAGCUACUGCCCAGAAACGUCGAAAGACGCCAAUGUGGUAGACCAGGUCUGGCCGGAUUAAGGCUUUACUUAAGGUAGCUGGUGAUUACACCUACGUUGUGCUCUGCCAAAACUCGACCAGGGGGGAAGUCA
Molecule: small RNA, 169 nt
Filed under: Geobacter sp.
Lineage: Bacteria; Pseudomonadati; Thermodesulfobacteriota; Desulfuromonadia; Geobacterales; Geobacteraceae
Also listed under: 1 other name
Description: Magnesium sequence
Rfam family: M-box riboswitch aptamer (ykoK leader)
About the family: M-box riboswitch, also know as ykoK leader is described as a metaloregulatory RNA that sense divalent metals and function as a genetic control element of genes related to divalent metal transport in bacteria. It was first reported upstream of the B.subtilis ykoK gene and genes with related functions in other bacteria.
Source: RNAcentral